CAACAGGGAUUGCCCUAGUAACGGCGAGUGAAGCGGCAACAGCUCAAAUUUGAAAUCUGGCUCUUUCAGAGUCCGAGUUGUAAUUUGCAGAGGGCGCUUUGGCUUUGGCAGCGGUCCAAGUUCCUUGGAACAGGACGUCACAGAGGGUGAGAAUCCCGUACGUGGUCGCUAGCUAUUGCCGUGUAAAGCCCCUUCGACGAGUCGAGUUGUUUGGGAAUGCAGCUCUAAAUGGGAGGUAAAUUUCUUCUAAAGCUAAAUAUUGGCCAGAGACCGAUAGCGCACAAGUAGAGUGAUCGAAAGAUGAAAAGCACUUUGGAAAGAGAGUCAAACAGCACGUGAAAUUGUUGAAAGGGAAGCGCUUGCAGCCAGACUUGCUUGCAGUUGCUCAUCCGGGCUUUUGCCCGGUGCACUCUUCUGUAGGCAGGCCAGCAUCAGUUUGGGCGGUGGGAUAAAGGUCUCUGUCACGUACCUCUCUUCGGGGAGGCCUUAUAGGGGAGACGACAUACCACCAGCCUAGACUGAGGUCCGCGCAUCUGCUAGGAUGCUGGCGUAAUGGCUGUAAGCGGCCCGUCUUGAAACACGGACCAAGGAGUCUAACAUCUAUGCGAGUGUUUGGGUGUCAAGCCCGAGCGCGUAAUGAAAGUGAACGGAGGUGGGAACCCGCAAGGGUGCACCAUCGACCGAUCCUGAAGUUUACGGAAGGAUUUGAGUAAGAGCAUGGCUGUUGGGACCCGAAAGAUGGUGAACUAUGCUUGAAUAGGGUGAAGCCAGAGGAAACUCUGGUGGAGGCUCGCAGCGGUUCUGACGUGCAAAUCGAUCGUCAAAUUUGGGCAUAGGGGCGAAAGACUAAUCGAAC
RNAcentral lists this ribosomal RNA (856 nucleotides) under Bipolaris sorokiniana. RNAcentral describes it as "eukaryotic LSU rRNA". It matches the Rfam family "Eukaryotic large subunit ribosomal RNA", at positions 66 to 940 of the family's 3401-position model. RNAcentral also lists the same sequence under 1 other name. Lineage: Eukaryota; Fungi; Ascomycota; Dothideomycetes; Pleosporales; Pleosporaceae. The record is from RNAcentral.